Molecule: ribosomal RNA, 274 nt
Filed under: uncultured bacterium
Lineage: Bacteria
Description: partial 16S ribosomal RNA
Rfam family: Bacterial small subunit ribosomal RNA
Source: RNAcentral
AUACGGAGGAUCCAAGCGUUAUCCGGAUUUAUUGGGUUUAAAGGGUGCGCAGGCGGCCUUAUAAGUCAGUGGUGAAAUCUCCCGGCUCAACCGGGAAACUGCCAUUGAUACUGUAAGGCUAGAAUACAGACGAGGUAGACGGAAUGUAGCAUGUAGCGGUGAAAUGCUUAGAUAUGCUACAGAACACCAAUCGCGAAGGCAGCUUACCAGACUGUAAUUGACGCUAAGGCACGAAAGCGUGGGGAGCGAACAGGAUUAGAAACCCCAGUAGUCC